AGAGCUUGCUUUAAAGAAGUUAGCGGCGGACGGGUGAGUAACACGUGGGCAACCUGCCUGUAAGACUGGGAUAACUUCGGGAAACCGGAGCUAAUACCGGAUAAUAUAUAGUACCUCCUGGUACUAUAUUGAAAGAUGGCCUCUAGCUAUCACUUACAGAUGGGCCCGCGGCGCAUUAGCUAGUUGGUGAGGUAACGGCUCACCAAGGCAACGAUGCGUAGCCGACCUGAGAGGGUGAUCGGCCACACUGGGACUGAGACACGGCCCAGACUCCUACGGGAGGCAGCAGUAGGGAAUCUUCCACAAUGGACGAAAGUCUGAUGGAGCAACGCCGCGUGAGCGAUGAAGGCCUUCGGGUCGUAAAGCUCUGUUGUUAGGGAAGAACAAGUGCGAGAGUAACUGCUCGCACCUUGACGGUACCUAACCAGAAAGCCACGGCUAACUACGUGCCAGCAGCCGCGGUAAUACGUANNUGGCAAGCGUUGUCCGGAAUUAUUGGGCGUAAAGCGCGCGCANGCGGUUUCUUAAGUCUGAUGUGAAAGCCCACGGCUNNNCCGUGGAGGGUCAUUGGAAACUGGGAGAC
This 583-nucleotide ribosomal RNA is filed under the name uncultured Bacillus sp. RNAcentral's name for it is "bacterial SSU rRNA". It matches the Rfam family "Bacterial small subunit ribosomal RNA", at positions 75 to 641 of the family's 1533-position model. The record is from RNAcentral. Lineage: Bacteria; Bacillati; Bacillota; Bacilli; Caryophanales; Bacillaceae.